CUGCCUGCCCAGUGACCAAAAGUUAAACGGCCGCGGUAUCUUGACCGUGCGAAGGUAGCAUAAUCAUUUGUCUCCUAAAUAGAGACUGGUAUGAAUGGCAAGACGGAGCUCAACUGUCUCCUCCUCCCCAAUCCGAAAUUCACAAUCCCGUGAAGAGGCGAGAAUUAGCCCGCAAGACGAGAAGACCCUGUCGAGCUGUAGUAGAACCUUAACUCCUCCUAUUCUCUUUACCAAACUAAUCGUGCAAAACUAGUGAAGUAAGGAGACACAGGAGAUUAAGACAAACUUUGAUUGGGGCAAUCACGGAGAAAGAGAAUCCUCCGACACUUUAUAGUUUUAUCUUAAACCUAAAGUAAAGAGACAUAACUCUACAAUCACCAAGUGAAGAAAUGAUCCACUAACAGUGACCAAGAGAAAAAGUUACCGCAGGGAUAACAGCGUUAUCUUUUCUGAGAGUUCAUAUUGACGAAAAGGUUUGCGACCUCGAUGUUGGAUCGGGGCAUCCUAGGGGUGCAGAAGCUCCUAAGGGUUGGUCUGUUCGACCAUUAAAGCCCUACGUGAUCUGAGUUCAGACCGGCGAGAGCCA
This 586-nucleotide ribosomal RNA is filed under the name Metalia nobilis. RNAcentral's name for it is "partial 16S ribosomal RNA". It matches the Rfam family "Bacterial large subunit ribosomal RNA", at positions 1854 to 2628 of the family's 2925-position model. Lineage: Eukaryota; Metazoa; Echinodermata; Echinoidea; Spatangoida; Brissidae. The record is from RNAcentral.